Homo sapiens (human) is the source of this 655-nucleotide long non-coding RNA. RefSeq lists it as uncharacterized. The transcript has 2 exons. NCBI's taxonomy places the organism in Eukaryota, Metazoa, Chordata, Mammalia, Primates, Hominidae. The record is from RefSeq and is marked validated.
GGAAUCAUGUGAGACAAGGGUGGUGGCCGCUCUGGAGGUGCCUGGGGGGUUCCCUCAUUACCCCUCUGGGCUUAGUCCAUCCUCCACACUGUUGUGCAGCUUCUCCACCUCCUGGUAGAGGAUAAAUACUGUUACCCUUAUCCCUGGUCACAUCCAGGGAGACGCGGUCCAGCGGCCCAGGCGGGGGACAGUGCCGUUCUAGAGGUCCUUGAGCCCCUCCUUCCUCAGGAUCUGCAGCCAUAGGCCGGUGUGUUCCGCGUUUGUGCUGCUCCAGGCCCCGCAUCCGGUCUCGAUCCCAUCCAGAGGAGCGUUUCCCAAGACACUGGCUGCGCCCACAAUGGCUCCGAAGACCCCAGCGACCAGCGGGUCCAUGGGCUUGCUGGGGUUGUCCCCUCGGUACCAGCUGUGCAGGGAGGUCAGGAGGAGAAGCAGACGGCCUGGUUCCAGCCCUGCUUUAGCGUGGGUGCCAUGAGGCCCCGACGUUUAAAGUAUUGCUGUGUGUUUCAAGUGGAGGAGGUCAUAUUACAACUGACAUUUGUCCUUGACUACUGGACAUAUCACACCAGCCCUGAUUGCAGUUAUACUUGAAGCCAGAUCUACCCUUAACGUAUAUUCAUUUUACUAUUCAAUAAAUAUUAACUUAUCAUGAAUGGUA